This 475-nucleotide ribosomal RNA is filed under the name uncultured bacterium. RNAcentral describes it as "SSU rRNA". It matches the Rfam family "Bacterial small subunit ribosomal RNA", at positions 26 to 518 of the family's 1533-position model. The record is from RNAcentral.
AGGACAAACGCUGGCGGCGUACCUAAGACAUGCAAGUCGAACGGAUUGCAGAUCUUCGGAUUUGUAGUGAGUGGCGAACGGGUGAGUAACGCGUAGGAACCCGCCUCGACGUGGGGGGAUAACACUUGGAAACAGGUGCUAAUACCGCAUGUGGUCGAGAGAAGAAAGGCUUGAGGAAUCAAGUCGCGUUGAGAGGGGCCUGCGUCCGAUUAGCUAGUUGGUGGGGUAAAGGCUUACCAAGGCGACGAUCGGUAGCUGGUCUGAGAGGAUGGUCAGCCACACUGGGACUGAGACACGGCCCAGACUCCUACGGGAGGCAGCAGUGGGGGAAUAUUGCGCAAUGGGCGAAAGCCUGACGCAGCGACGCCGCGUGGGGGAUGAAGGCCUUCGGGUUGUAAACCCCUUUCAGCAGGGACGAAGCGAAAGUGACGGUACCUGCAGAAGAAGCGCCGGCUAACUACGUGCCAGCAGCCGC